UUAAUUUCAACACAGCGAUAAGAUGUGUCAGAAACAACUACAAUUCUCUCUACGUCUAAGAGUUUGGAUCUAGUUUGGAUUUCCAAAAGAAAGUCAAAUUCCGUAAGGUUAACAAAGAAAGGUCGUUAUUUUGGCAAAGACGUACCAUUCAGUUGCUGCAAGUGGGGCAUGUUUCGUCCAUGCGUUGAUACCAGAAUCGAGGACAGCCAAUAUCAUUCCAAAUACAAAUAUCCCACAGAUUUAACUUUACAUACAACUGGAUGUCAAGAAGCCCUGGCUAAUUUCUUAGGGCACAAGAUAUUUGCAGGAGUUGGAAUUUUUGUACUCAUUUCUUUUUUCUUACUGGCUCUUCUAACAACUUUGGCCAGAUACAUGCAUACUUCUUUGAGUCAAAUGUCCAUCGGAAGAAAGCCAAUAGGAUGGCUUAUUCCGUACUCUAAAUCAUCAAAAACUCCUAAAACGAGUAAACUGGUGAAAAGCGAAGAAAGUGAAGAUUCAGACUGAUAAUUAAAAUUCAGGAGUUUUGUAAUUUAUACUUCUUACUGCAAUGCUCAUAUCUAUCACAUGUUUUUCAUAAUUUGCGAAAGUGAAAAUAAGUCUU
This is a long non-coding RNA of Stegodyphus dumicola, 601 nucleotides long. NCBI's taxonomy places the organism in Eukaryota, Metazoa, Arthropoda, Arachnida, Araneae, Eresidae. The record is from RefSeq and is a predicted model, not a curated record.